GAUGAACGCUGGCGGCGUGCCUAAUACAUGCAAGUCGAGCGAAUAGACGAGGAGCUUGCUCCUCUGACGUUAGCGGCGGACGGGUGAGUAACACGUGGAUAACCUACCUAUAAGACUCGGAUAACUUCGGGAAACCGGAGCUAAUACCGGAUAAUAUAUUGAACCGCAUGGUUCAAUAGUUAAAGACGGUUUUGCUGUCACUUAUAGAUGGAUCCGCGCCGCAUUAGCUAGUUGGUAAGGUAACGGCUUACCAAGGCAACGAUGCGUAGCCGACCUGAGAGGGUGAUCGGCCACACUGGAACUGAGACGCGGUCCAGACUCCGACGGGAGGCAGCAGUAGGGAAUCUUCCGCGAUGGGCGAAAGCCUGACGGAGCAACGCCGCGUGAGUGAUGAAGGUCUUCGGAUCGUAAAACUCUGUUAUUAGGGAAGAACAAAUGUGUAAGUAACUAUGCACGUCUUGACGGUACCUAAUCAGAAAGCCACGGCUAACUACGUG
RNAcentral lists this ribosomal RNA (497 nucleotides) under uncultured bacterium. Its description in RNAcentral is "partial 16S ribosomal RNA". It matches the Rfam family "Bacterial small subunit ribosomal RNA", at positions 28 to 507 of the family's 1533-position model. The record is from RNAcentral.